UGCAGUGGGUACGGGCAGACUAGAGUGCGGUAGGGGAGAAUGGAACUCCUGGUGUAGCGGUGGAAUGCGCAGAUAUCAGGAAGAACACCGAUGGCGAAGGCAGUUCUCUGGGCCGUAACUGACGCUGAGGAGCGAAAGCGUGGGGAGCGAACAGGAUUAGAUACCCUGGUAGUCCACGCCGUAAACGUUGGGCGCUAGAUGUGGGGACCAUUCCACGGUUUCCGUGUCGCAGCUAACGCAUUAAGCGCCCCGCCUGGGGAGUACGGCCGCAAGGCUAAAACUCAAAGGAAUUGACGGGGGCCCGCACAAGCGGCGGAGCAUGCGGAUUAAUUCGAUGCAACGCGAAGAACCUUACCAAGGCUUGACAUACACGAGAACGGGCCAGAAAUGGUCAACUCUUUGGACACUCGUGAACAGGUGGUGCAUGGUUGUCGUCAGCUCGUGUCGUGAGAUGUUGGGUUAAGUCCCGCAACGAGCGCAACCCUCGUUCUAUGUUGCCAGCACGUGAUGGUGGGAACUCAUAGGAGACUGCCGGGGUCAACUCGGAGGAAGGUGGGGAUGACGUCAAAUCAUCAUGCCCCUUAUGUCUUGGGCUUCACGCAUGCUACAAUGGCCGGUACAAAGGGCUGCGAUACCGUAAGGUGGAGCGAAUCCCAAAAAGCCGGUCUCAGUUCGGAUUGAGGUCUGCAACUCGACCUCAUGAAGUCGGAGUCGCUAGUAAUCGCAGAUCAGCAACGCU
Molecule: ribosomal RNA, 739 nt
Filed under: Leifsonia sp. SKS40
Lineage: Bacteria; Bacillati; Actinomycetota; Actinomycetes; Micrococcales; Microbacteriaceae
Description: bacterial SSU rRNA
Rfam family: Bacterial small subunit ribosomal RNA
Source: RNAcentral